Molecule: ribosomal RNA, 301 nt
Filed under: uncultured bacterium
Lineage: Bacteria
Description: partial 16S ribosomal RNA
Rfam family: Bacterial small subunit ribosomal RNA
Source: RNAcentral
CAGUAGCCACGGGAAUACGAAGGGGGCUAGCGUUGCUCGGAAUGACUGGGCGUAAAGGGCGCGUAGGCGGCUGACACAGUCAGAUGUGAAAUUCCUGGGCUCAACCUGGGGACUGCAUUUGAGACGUGUUGGCUUGAGUGGAGAAGAGGGUCGUGGAAUUUCCAGUGUAGAGGUGAAAUUCGUAGAUAUCGGAAAGAACACCGGUGGCGAAGGCGGCGACCUGGUCUUUAACUGACGCUGAGGCGCGAAAGCGUGGGGAGCAAACAGGAUUAGAUACCCCCGUAGUCCCUGUCUCUUAUAA